RNAcentral lists this transfer RNA (73 nucleotides) under Planctomycetota bacterium. RNAcentral describes it as "Planctomycetes bacterium (activated sludge metagenome) tRNA-Ile". It matches the Rfam family "tRNA". Rfam says of the family: Transfer RNA (tRNA) molecules are approximately 80 nucleotides in length. Their secondary structure includes four short double-helical elements and three loops (D, anti-codon, and T loops). Lineage: Bacteria; Pseudomonadati; Planctomycetota. The record is from RNAcentral.
GGGCCCAUAGCUCAACGGUUAGAGCAGGGGACUCAUAAUCUCUUGGUUGCAGGUUCGAAUCCUGCUGGGGCCA